GAAGGGAUCUGGGCUUUGAGGGGCCUGGAAGAAGGAAGACCAUGUUUCUGAGGGGUUUUAUUAGAGGUGGGAGGGAGUGUCCUCUAGCAUCAGAUGCUCUGACUCUGAAGACAGGACAGUGGACAGGCAUUUGGCUCCAGCAACCCUUGCCUGGAGCUUCAGAAGCCACAGCCUUUGGCAUCAAGGCUGCCCUGUCUGGGGCUGUGCCCUGCUCCCUAUCCCCACAGCAGCCUCCUCUCUCCCAGCUUGCUCAAGGCACCCAUUGCCCCAAAGGCAAACAGUGGCAGACGAUAGGCCAGCCCGACAGGCCCCCAGACUGGGCUGUGUGUCCCAGACACAGGGGCAGAUACAAACACUGCUUGAUGUUAACUGCUGUCUUCAGGGAAGUGGCCCUGCUCUCUGAGAAAGGGGAAGUGUGGGCACUAGAGCCACAGAGGGCAGGCCCUCCCUGCCCCACCCCAGCAGCAGAGAAGCCCCAGAGAUGGAUGAGGCCUGGGGAAGGGAGGGGAGAGAGGGCUGGAGCUGAGGCUAGGAUGCUGGGGGCAGCACUGUUCACUGCAGAGGCCUCAAGCCGCAGUCCAAUAGGUCUGGGGUGGGGGACGGGAUUUGAGGAUCUCAGUCUAAAGAUGAGGAGAUAAGCCUGUCAGUCUAGGACUUCCGGUCUAUAUCUGAUCCUGAUUACCUGGGUCUGUUUUUGUGGUGAAGUCUUCUAUUUUACGUGAUUUUGGUUGGGGCACCAAAAGCCACUGGCUUUGGGCUCUGAAGCAUGUCUUGCCAGGCUCACUCCCACCCAGUGCCUGGAGUUGGGGGCGGGCAGCCUCCUUUGAGCCUAAGCCCCAAGGGUCUGUCUUUCCUGAAAGUCUCAGUUCAAUUUCUUCUCUGCUAAAGGGCUGGAGGAGGGUUUUCCCUGGUGUGUGUGUAUUUAGUCACUAAGUCAUGUCUGACUCUUUGUGACAUCAUGGACUAUAGCCUACUAGGCUCCUCUGUCCAUGGAAUUCUCCGCAGCGAGGAUACUGGAGUGGGUUGCCAUUUCCUUCUCCAGAGGAUCUUCCCAGACCAGGAUUGAACUCGGGUCUCUGGCAUUAGCAGCCCCUUCCUUAGUGACUCAGUGGUAAAGAAUCCACCUACCAAUGCAAGAGAUGUGGGUUCAAUCCCUGGGUCAGGAAGCUCCUCUAGAGGAGGAAAUGGCUACCCACUCCAGUAUUCUUGCUGGAAAAAGUCCAUAAACAGAAAAGUUUGGCAGGCUAUAGUCCAUAGGGUUGCAAAGAAUCUGACAACUGAGUGAGCAUUGUGGAGAGAUGGCUGUGGCUGGGGGCUCAGGGAGUAAGAUGCAGGGGCUCAGAGAUGCCAAGACUUAGGCUUAGGGAGGACGGAUGGGAAGGCAACUCUGGUUCUAGAAGCUGAGCCCUGUGGAACAGUGCCAGGCCUAUAUAACGCCCCAAGGCCUAAGUCAGUCCCCAGAUUUUGUGUCUCCAACUUCAUCACUGAAGAUGUCCUGUCAAAUGUCUGUUCCCAUUUGGGGACACCUGUCAGGAAGCCCACUUCCCAAACUCAAGCUGAGUGUGUGAAUCGGAGAAUCACAAUCCACACUGGCCUAGCCAAGACUCUGAGAAGACCUAAAGAAAAAGUACCGGUUAAAG
Molecule: long non-coding RNA, 1640 nt
Organism: Bos taurus (domestic cattle)
Lineage: Eukaryota; Metazoa; Chordata; Mammalia; Artiodactyla; Bovidae
Source: Ensembl